This 472-nucleotide ribosomal RNA is filed under the name uncultured organism. Its description in RNAcentral is "partial 16S ribosomal RNA". It matches the Rfam family "Bacterial small subunit ribosomal RNA", at positions 335 to 798 of the family's 1533-position model. The record is from RNAcentral.
ACUCCUGCGGGAGGCAGCAGUGGGGAAUUUUGGACAAUGGGCGAAAGCCUGAUCCAGCAAUGCCGCGUGAGUGAAGAAGGCCUUCGGGUUGUAAAGCUCUUUUGUCAGGGAAGAAACGGUGAGAGCUAAUAUCUCUUGCUAAUGACGGUACCUGAAGAAUAAGCACCGGCUAACUACGUGCCAGCAGCCGCGGUAAUACGUAGGGUGCAAGCGUUAAUCGGAAUUACUGGGCGUAAAGCGUGCGCAGGCGGUUUUGUAAGUCUGAUGUGAAAUCCCCGGGCUCAACCUGGGAAUUGCAUUGGAGACUGCAAGGCUAGAAUCUGGCAGAGGGGGGUAGAAUUCCACGUGUAGCAGUGAAAUGCGUAGAUAUGUGGAGGAACACCGAUGGCGAAGGCAGCCCCCUGGGUCAAGAUUGACGCUCAUGCACGAAAGCGUGGGGAGCAAACAGGAUUAGAUACCCGGGUAGUCCCAU